This 72-nucleotide transfer RNA is filed under the name Parachlamydiales bacterium. RNAcentral describes it as "tRNA-Gln". It matches the Rfam family "tRNA". Rfam says of the family: Transfer RNA (tRNA) molecules are approximately 80 nucleotides in length. Their secondary structure includes four short double-helical elements and three loops (D, anti-codon, and T loops). RNAcentral also lists the same sequence under 1 other name. The record is from RNAcentral. Lineage: Bacteria; Pseudomonadati; Chlamydiota; Chlamydiia; Parachlamydiales.
UGGGGCGUCGCCAAGUGGUAAGGCAGCGGUUUUUGGUACCGCCAUUCGGAGGUUCGAUCCCUUCCGCCCCAA